CACAAGCGGUGGAGUAUGUGGUUUAAUUCGAUGCAACGCGAAGAACCUUACCUGGUCUUGACAUCCCGGAGACCCUUAGGAAACUAGGGGGUGCUCCAUCUGGAAGAAUCUGGAGACAGGUGCUGCAUGGCUGUCGUCAGCUCGUGUCGUGAGGUGUUGGGUUAAGUCCCGCAACGAGCGCAACCUUGCCUUUAGUUGCCAUCAGGUAAUGCUGGGGACUCUAAAGGAACUGCCUACGCAAGUAGUGAGGAAGGCGGGGAUGACGUCAAAUCAGCACGGCCCUUACGUCCAGGGCUACACACGUGCUACAAUGGCCGAUACAGAGGGCAGCUACCUGGUGACAGGAUGCAAAUCUCCAAAAGUCGGUCUCAGUUCGGAUCGGAGUCUGCAACCCGACUCCGUGAAGUUGGAUUCGCUAGUAAUCGCGCAUCAGCCAUGGCGCGGUGAAUACGUUCCCGGGCCUU
Molecule: ribosomal RNA, 464 nt
Filed under: uncultured Sphingobacteriales bacterium
Lineage: Bacteria; Pseudomonadati; Bacteroidota; Sphingobacteriia; Sphingobacteriales
Description: bacterial SSU rRNA
Rfam family: Bacterial small subunit ribosomal RNA
Source: RNAcentral